Molecule: ribosomal RNA, 625 nt
Filed under: uncultured archaeon
Lineage: Archaea
Description: bacterial SSU rRNA
Rfam family: Archaeal small subunit ribosomal RNA
Source: RNAcentral
GUAAUACUCCAUAGUUCGUUAUUACUGGAAUGUUUUUCGAACGAAAGAUCCGUCGCUUCAGGAUGAGUCUGCGGCCGAUUAGGUAGUUGUUGGGGUAAUUGCCCAACAAGCCUGUAAUCGGUACGGGUUGUGGGAGCAAGAGCCCGGAGAUGGAUUCUGAGACACGAAUGCAGGCCGUACGGGGCGCAGCAGGCGCGAAAACUUUACCAUGCGGGCAACCGUGAUAAGGAAACCCCGAGUGCCAGCACAGGCUGGCUGUCCGCCAGUUUAAACAACUGGCGAAGAAAGGGCCGGGCAAGACCGGUGCCAGCCGCCGCGGUAAUACCGGCGGCUCGAGUGGUGGCCGCUAUUACUGGGCUUAAAGGGUCCGUAGCUUGAUAAUAGGGUCCCUUGAGAAAUCCGCCGGCUUAACUGGCGGGCGUUCAGGGGAAACUUGUUUUCUAGGGACCGGGAGAGGUGAGGGGUACUGCCGGGGUAGGAGUGAAAUCCUGUAAUCCCGGUGGGACCACCUAUGGCGAAGGCAUCUCACCAGAACGGGUCCGACAGUGAGGGACGAAAGCUGGGGGAGCAAACCGGAUUAGAUACCUCGGGUAGUCCCGAGCUGUAAACUAUGUGCGUUAGGUGU